CACUGGCCCUAGAGCUGUCGGCGCCUUCCCUUUUCCUCUCCCCAUGUGUAGCCACAGGCUUCGGCAGCCAUCCUCCGUCGAACCCUGGUCCUCUGCAGGCCUCUCCCCGUGACACAAAGUCCUUGCCCCGGCCCUGCACUUAAUAGGUCCUUGCCAAGAAUACGCUGAGCUAGGACAAGAAGAUUGCUGACCUGGAAAUGUGGGAGAUGAUGUUGACACCUUUAAUAACAAGGAUGUCAAUGAUUUGACUGAUUGGUGCCCUCUGGUGGUAAAGAAAACGGGACACACGCCUUCAGUCUGUAUGGCAUCACCUGGUGCUCUUCAAGAGAGGGCUCUCUUGAAGAAUUCUUUCUUCCAAAGAGAAAUGAUAUGGAAAUCUUGAAAGAUAAAUGAGAGGAUUUCAGAAGUUUAUUUAUUAGGGAGGGAAGAGGUAUAAAGAAACUUCAGUUAUCUGAUACAAGCUCAGUAGGGGCAGGUCUCUGUCACUAUCACACACAAGGAGGGAUGAAUUGCAAGAGGAGGAUUUUCAUGAUGGAGAGAAAAGAAGAUACCCUCUUUGGAAUCCAAGUACACUCAGCUAGUAUUUUCCAUCAUUUUGGAACCUAAUUUUCCCAUGAGACUUCCUAAAGGAAAGAAUCAGAAUCAACAUUUCAUGAAUAAAAUGCCAGAACUACAAAA
This 678-nucleotide long non-coding RNA is filed under the name Canis lupus familiaris (dog). RNAcentral describes it as "lncRNA (ENSCAFG00845021798.1)". Lineage: Eukaryota; Metazoa; Chordata; Mammalia; Carnivora; Canidae. The record is from RNAcentral.